ACGGAAGGCAGCAGUGGGGAAUAUUGCACAAUGGGGGAAACCCUGAUGCAGCAACGCCGCGUGAGUGAAGAAGUAUUUCGGUAUGUAAAGCUCUAUCAGCAGGGAAGAUAAUGACGGUACCUGACUAAGAAGCUCCGGCUAAAUACGUGCCAGCAGCCGCGGUAAUACGUAUGGAGCAAGCGUUAUCCGGAUUUACUGGGUGUAAAGGGUGCGUAGGUGGCAUGGUAAGUCAGAUGUGAAAUACCGGGGCUCAACCCCGGAGCUGCAUUUGAAACUGCCAGGCUGGAGUACAGGAGAGGCAAGCGGAAUUCCUAGUGUAGCGGUGAAAUGCGUAGAUAUUGGGAGGAACACCGGUGGCGAAGGCGGUUUACUGGACCACAACUGACGCUGAGACACGAAAGCGUGGGGAGCAAACAGGAUUAGAUACCCUGGUA
This 434-nucleotide ribosomal RNA is filed under the name uncultured Lachnospiraceae bacterium. Its description in RNAcentral is "partial 16S ribosomal RNA". It matches the Rfam family "Bacterial small subunit ribosomal RNA", at positions 341 to 792 of the family's 1533-position model. The record is from RNAcentral. Lineage: Bacteria; Bacillati; Bacillota; Clostridia; Lachnospirales; Lachnospiraceae.